Molecule: unclassified non-coding RNA, 349 nt
Filed under: soil metagenome
Description: partial contains 5.8S ribosomal RNA, internal transcribed spacer 2, and large subunit ribosomal RNA
Rfam family: 5.8S ribosomal RNA (bases 1-120)
Source: RNAcentral
GAUGAAGAACGCAGCGAAAUGCGAAAAGUAAUGUGAAUUGCAGAAUUCAGUGAAUCAUCGAAUCUUUGAACGCACAUUGCGCCCGCCAGUAUUCUGGCGGGCAUGCCUGUCUGAGCGUCAUUUCAACCCUCACGCCCCUAGGGCGUGGUGUUGGGGAUCGGCCAAGGCCCGCAAGGGACGGCCGGCCCCUAAAUCUAGUGGCGGACCCAUCGUGGCCUCCCCUGCGAAGUAGUAAUAUAUUCCGCAUCGGAUAGCGAUGAGCCCCUGCCGUUAAACCCCCAACUCUUUCAAGGUUGACCUCAGAUCAGGUAGGAAUACCCGCUGAACUUAAGCAUAUCAAAAGCGGAGA